AACGCUGGCGGCAGGCCUAACACAUGCAAGUCGAGCGGAUGAGUGGAGCUUGCUCCAUGAUUCAGCGGCGGACGGGUGAGUAAUGCCUAGGAAUCUGCCUGGUAGUGGGGGACAACGUUUCGAAAGGAACGCUAAUACCGCAUACGUCCUACGGGAGAAAGCAGGGGACCUUCGGGCCUUGCGUUAUCAGAUGAGCCUAGGUCGGAUUAGCUAGUUGGUGAGGUAAUGGCUCACCAAGGCGACGAUCCGUAACUGGUCUGAGAGGAUGAUCAGUCACACUGGAACUGAGACACGGUCCAGACUCCUACGGGAGGCAGCAGUGGGGAAUAUUGGACAAUGGGCGAAAGCCUGAUCCAGCCAUGCCGCGUGUGUGAAGAAGGUCUUCGGAUUGUAAAGCACUUUAAGUUGGGAGGAAGGGUUGUAGAUUAAUACUCUGCAAUUUUGACGUUACCGACAGAAUAAGCACCGGCUAACUCUGUG
RNAcentral lists this ribosomal RNA (480 nucleotides) under uncultured bacterium. RNAcentral's name for it is "bacterial SSU rRNA". It matches the Rfam family "Bacterial small subunit ribosomal RNA", at positions 32 to 507 of the family's 1533-position model. The record is from RNAcentral.